UAGGGCGGUCAUAGUGGCAUGGUCACAUCCGAUCUCAUUUCGAACUCGGAAAUUAAGAAUGCCCACGUUCCAUAUAGUACUGUACUCCGUACGGGAAGUAUGGUUAGCUGCCCGCC
This 116-nucleotide ribosomal RNA is filed under the name Candidatus Woesearchaeota archaeon. Lineage: Archaea; Nanobdellati; Candidatus Woesearchaeota. The record is from RNAcentral.